AGUGAACGCUGGCGGUAGGCCUAACACAUGCAAGUCGAACGGCAGCACAGGAGAGCUUGCUCUCUAGGUGGCGAGUGGCGGACGGGUGAGGAAUACAUCGGAAUCUGCCCAGUCGUGGGGGAUAACGUAGGGAAACUUACGCUAAUACCGCAUACGACCUUCGGGUGAAAGAGGGGGAUCGCAAGACCUCUCGCGAUUGGAUGAGCCGAUGUCGGAUUAGCUAGUUAGCAGGGUAAUGGCCCACCAAGGCGACGAUCCGUAGCUGGUCUGAGAGGAUGAUCAGCCACACUGGAACUGAGACACGGUCCAGACUCCUACGGGAGGCAGCAGUGGGGAAUAUUGGACAAUGGGCGCAAGCCUGAUCCAGCCAUACCGCGUGGGUGAAGAAGGCCUUCGGGUUGUAAAGCCCUUUUGUUGGGAAAGAAAUCUUUCAGGCUAAUACCCUGGGAGGAUGACGGUACCCAAAGAAUAAGCACCGGCUAACUUCGUG
This 490-nucleotide ribosomal RNA is filed under the name uncultured bacterium. RNAcentral describes it as "partial 16S ribosomal RNA". It matches the Rfam family "Bacterial small subunit ribosomal RNA", at positions 29 to 507 of the family's 1533-position model. The record is from RNAcentral.